This 732-nucleotide ribosomal RNA is filed under the name Acidobacteria bacterium SJ-70G. RNAcentral's name for it is "bacterial SSU rRNA". It matches the Rfam family "Bacterial small subunit ribosomal RNA", at positions 110 to 873 of the family's 1533-position model. The record is from RNAcentral. Lineage: Bacteria; Pseudomonadati; Acidobacteriota.
GUAACACGUGACUAACCUACCCUGAAGUGGGGAAUAACUGGGGGAAACCCUAGCUAAUACCGCAUAAUACCUACGGGUCAAAGGAGCAAUUCGCUUCAGGAGGGGGUCGCGGCCGAUUAGUUAGUUGGCGGGGUAAUGGCCCACCAAGACAAUGAUCGGUAUCCGGCCUGAGAGGGCGCACGGACACAUUGGAACUGAAACACGGUCCAAACUCCUACGGGAGGCAGCAGUGGGGAAUUUUGCGCAAUGGGGGAAACCCUGACGCAGCAACGCCGCGUGGAGGAUGAAGUCCUUCGGGACGUAAACUCCUUUCGAUCGGGACGAUUAUGACGGUACCGGAAGAAGAAGCCCCGGCUAACUUCGUGCCAGCAGCCGCGGUAAUACGAGGGGGGCGAGCGUUGUUCGGAAUUAUUGGGCGUAAAGGGUGCGUAGGCGGUUUGGUAAGUCUUAUGUGAAAUCUACGGGCUUAACUCGUAGACUGCAUGAGAAACUGCCGGGCUUGAGUAUGGGAGAGGUGAGUGGAAUUCCUGGUGUAGCGGUGAAAUGCGUAGAUAUCAGGAGGAACACCUGUGGCGAAAGCGGCUCACUGGACCAUAACUGACGCUGAAGCACGAAAGCUAGGGGAGCAAACAGGAUUAGAUACCCUGGUAGUCCUAGCCCUAAACGAUGACUGCUUGGUGUGACGGGUACCCAAUCCCGCCGUGCCGUAGCUAACGCGUUAAGCAGUCCGCC